Molecule: long non-coding RNA, 241 nt
Filed under: Solanum tuberosum (potato)
Lineage: Eukaryota; Viridiplantae; Streptophyta; Magnoliopsida; Solanales; Solanaceae
Description: long non-coding RNA (STUB_LNC001438)
Source: RNAcentral
GAAAGUCUAAUGGGUAUAAAUUGACGUAGAUGCUUUUAUUUUAUUGGACCACUAUCCAUUCUUUAUUUGUCGAAAGAGCAGUUAAAACCUAUCUAUUUUUUAUAUCAUUUAUCUACUUUGAAACCAUUACUAUUAUAAUAUAUAAUAUUGAAAUCGGUUUUGUUUUCAAUCAAAAUUAAGCUAGGAGUCUCAUUAAGCAACCGCUAGUUUGAAUUGCCCAAGCAAAAAUUUCAUUGUUUUA